CACGUGGCCUUUGGACUAACGGUCGCUUCCUCGCCCGCAGUCACAGACCUAGGUGGGUCAUUUACGUCCUGGCCCAAUUCCUAGCGAAAACCACAGAACAAGCUGCCUUUGGCUCCCGUGGCUACCGUCAACGGUCUUCAUCGUCGCUUUGGAGGAUUCGUCUUGUAACGGGGUAUUUAGACCACCUCUGUUCUCCAGCGCCAAGCUCAGUUUAGUCCGGCCAAGGGACGGGCUCCUGCUCACACACUUGGCAGUAGGAUGGAGGGGAGGCUGCCUGCAGAGCCUUAGCUGAGCAAAGAGCCUGGAGCCCAUGUGGCCUGCCUGUGUUUUGUGAGCUCUGUCCCUGGAGAGUCCUGACAUGACUGUGCCAAGCAGGAGAAGGGUCCGGGGUCUCCAGAACCCUUAAGGAAAGUCGUUUGCACAGAAGAUAAGCAUUUUCUGUGAGUCGUGAGUACUGGAGGUGAGGGAGACUUGAGGCACAGGCCAAAAGAAAGGUCCCUUGGUUCAGCCGUCAUCUUCCUGCCUGAAGAGAAGAGCCACACCCACUGGAGCCAGGAGAGAGCCACCUCACUCUACAGUGUCCUUGAAGGGGCCACCAGGUGACUGCUCCCUAAAGCCAUAGCCACUCUGCCUCCUUCAUCCAAGGUGCUUCUUCUGACUGAAGUGGUGUGCACAGUGAGGGCCGGCUGAUGCUUUAGGCCGGCUAGAAUGUGAUGUCCCAGCCACGGAGGAGAGCCCAGAGAAGGGGCUUCCCUUGGUCUGCACAUGGCCUCAGCAGGAAGCCUCACCACCACAUCAAACGCUCUCCUGCAGGCUUGCCAGAUCCCUGGCGGGCGUCCAGUGUGCUCCUGGGCCUGUGCCCUUCAGCCCGGGACCCUGUGCUCACUGGCUACUUGUUCACAUGACACUGGGAAAUCUUGCCUUUCCAGAGCCUUCUUGGUGCGGGCUGGUGGGGAGCCAAGUCCCACUCAGAGGUCUGGUGUUGUGUUCCCGCCAGGGAAGGCGGCCUCCAUCCACAGCAGUGGUUGGAAGGGCCCCUGCACACCGCGUGUGACUGUGUUGAGAUUCCUUGCUCAUAGCUAUGAUGUCAUUACCCCCCUCCUCUGGCUCCUGGUCUGUGGUUGGCAUCCUUGCUGCCCUCCCUCGGCUUGGCCCUCCUGUUGGAAAGGCAAGAAGAACAAAGGCUCCUUGACCGUCCUCUCUCUCGCUGUUUGUCUUGACAGCAUUUGGCUGGCCGACCUCACCUGGAAGGCUGUCUUCACAUGGGAGCCACCCUGGUGUCGCUCCCACCCCUCACCCAGGCAGGCCCUAUCUUCUCUUGGGUCUGGAGAGGGUGUGCUUGCACAUUAGAGGGACCCUGGAGCCCACCCUGUGUCGAGGGGGCUGCUGUGAGCCAGAGCCGGGUCUCCCAGAGUCCUUUCCACCAUACCCCACAGAGCCAGAAUCCUCCCCUCCCCUGGCCUGGUGGAUGCCGGGCACAGGGGAACCGAGGCCUGGGGGACUAUGGAGUUGGUUGUGCCCCAGGCAGGGUGGCCCAAGGUUCCUGGAGACUGGGUAUCAGGGUCUGCCACCAAUGGCCCCCUUUGCCCUGCCACUGUGAAUGCAUGGUCCUCAAACCCAAUGCCCCUCCCACUCCUGGAAGGUACUGGGAAGUUCCUAAGAGAUCAGACCUCACCCCUCCUGGGCCUGGCUCACCUGCUCACUGCCUUCUGGGCUUGAGGUGCUUGAGCAUCCUCUGCUUUGUCUAGGUCGUAGUCUCUGGGCUUUGGUUCAUUGUCCUAGGAUGUAAGUUCAAAGCACUGCUUAGUAAUUCUUUUCUUCUGGGAGCUAGCAAGAAAGGGGGAAGCAUUUUCAUAACUGGUUCUCUAGGCAGGUGCAGUGAAGGAGCCUAUAAAUGGGUAGGUGUGGAAUGCCAGGAAGCCUCGGUACCCAACCCUUUCAGGUGGCAGUGGUCAAGCCAGGUCCUGGGGACAGCUGUGGUGGAGGCCUUGCAGGCUGUGACCAGAGGGUGAGUCCUGGAGCAGCUGAGCCUGGGUCUCCCAGCAGCCCGGGGACCUCAGUUAGCACAGGAAUGGUAACUGGCAUGGGGAACUGGCCUUGCUCAGGAUCCACUGAGGAUCCCGGAGAGCCUGGCCAGGGUGAGGGCCACGGUGGUGGGGCACGCUGCCAUUUCACAAGCUGGUCUGGAGGCAGUAGUUUCCGGGAUGCUGAUGGAGAGUAUCCCUGCAAGCAAACAGGGACUCCAGAGGCUGACCUCGGGUCCUGGCUCCCUGGACCACAGUGGCAGGACCACAUCUGAGUGCCAGGACUUUAAGCAGCCCCUGAAAUACCUGGUUGGACUCAUUUCUGAUCCCCACUCCCUGUCAGGGUGAAGAGCCUGAUGCCCCACUGUCCAUUUGGUUUAAAAUCCAAUGCCCCUUCCUGUUUCCUUUGAUGGAGACACAGGCAAACCCUGGGCUGUUUUCCUAGUCUGCUGAGUGCUAACUCAAGCAAGGAGAUUCUAAACCAGGAUGAGAGAAGCUGGUGUCGGGGAUGGGCGUGCCUCCCAUAUUGCCUUUGUCCGGAUUGCCUUGGCAUCUUGGCAUUUAUGACCUUGGUACGACCUUCAUCUUGCUGGUGACAGCACUGGUCCUUGGGGACUCCUGGAGUUUCAUCCCCUUCCUGUGGGGCAGACAACCAUGUGCUCAUGGGCACUUGGUUUUGUGGUCCUUGGGUAGCUGUGUUCCUUGCAUUAACCACAGCCAAGCCCUGUCCGUGGUUCUGGCCUGUACCGGCCUGUACUCCUGAGUCACAUCAUUCCUCCACAGAGAGAGCUCUGUUCUGGGAUGCCCUUGGGCCUGGGUCUCCUGUUUCCCUUCCUCUUAGUCAGUGGUGAGGUUGCUGAGGCAAAGGCCAGCAUGGGUUUCCUCCCAGGAUACUUCGUGCUUUCCUUGUAGGAUGUCUCAGGCUUCUUGGGCUCUGUGACGUCUCCUGUGGUCCCUCUCUGUGGUUGCUGAUGGAGUCUUCCUCUUCUUUUUUUUUGUUUUUUUUUUCACUCUUUUCCACCUCAGGUCUUUUGAGCACAUUUGGGACACAUGAGGGUAGCACUGUCACGUGCUGGCCCAGACUGUUCAGCUCUUUAGACAGUGUGACUCCUGAAGGCUUUCUGGGCAGCUCUUCACAGGGCUCAGCCACGCUCCAGGGAUGAGGGAGCAGCAGCACCUUCACCACCAGCCCUUCGGUCCCGAGGCCUCUGGAGAGUGAUGCCCUUGGGGCCCCACCUCUCUGUUUCAUAUUGAGAUAUCGUAGAACCUUGGUGCUUUCUCUCACGUAAUAUUUUUAAUUUCAGAUUUAUGUAUCCACACAUCUGCAAUGCAUUUUCUAGUUUGUCAUACACAUAUGUCUCCCUUUUGUAUAAUUUAAUGCAUAUGAAAAAUAUAGUGUCCCUGCUGGUUUUGUGGAUCACACUUGUAAUCUGGAUGUGCAGAAGGCUGUGUUGGAGGAAGAUAUCUGUGAGGUUAAGACCAGUGUGUGCUUCUGUUUGAGUCUCUUUUUAAUGUAUGAGUCUUGUUUGUUUGUUUAACAAAGCUAAAAGAUACCUGUGUUCUGUGAGAAUGAUUAUUCUCAAAAAGAGUUGUCAUUGAACAUUUAAAAUUCCUUCAUCAUCAAGGAAUAUAACUAUUUUCAUUGUCAAACACCAUGAUUAAAAGUCUGACAAGAUGGAUAUUGUUUCAUUCACAGGAAAUACUGAGCAUUCUGUAAGUGUCCUAAGAGUUUCUUCUUUGUUUCCAAGUCUGGCUAAGAAGAUAUUCUCAGAAUAACCCAAAUAUAAUUAGCGGCUGGAGAGAUGGCCACAGGUUAAGAGCAAGGUUGCUCUUGUCGGGGGCCUGGUUAUCUAGCGCCCACAUUGAGCUUGUCAACUAUCUGGGAGUCCAGUCUAGGGGAACUGCCCACCCUUGGCAUCAAGUUCAUGGCAUACAUGUAGGUAAAAUGCUGAUACACAAAAAAUAAAUCUUUUUAAAAAUAAAAUUAUUUAUAUAAAAA
Molecule: non-coding RNA, 4023 nt
Organism: Peromyscus maniculatus bairdii (prairie deer mouse)
Lineage: Eukaryota; Metazoa; Chordata; Mammalia; Rodentia; Cricetidae
Source: RefSeq, a predicted model, not a curated record